RNAcentral lists this ribosomal RNA (253 nucleotides) under uncultured bacterium. RNAcentral's name for it is "partial 16S ribosomal RNA". It matches the Rfam family "Bacterial small subunit ribosomal RNA", at positions 524 to 776 of the family's 1533-position model. The record is from RNAcentral.
UACGGUGGGGGCAAGCGUUGUUCGGAAUUACUGGGCGUAAAGGGCUCGUAGGUGGCCAACUAAGUCGGACGUGAAAUCCCUCGGCUUAACCGGGGAACUGCGUCCGAUACUGGUUGGCUUGAGUUUGGGAGAGGGAUGCGGAAUUCCAGGUGUAGCGGUGAAAUGCGUAGAUAUCUGGAGGAACACCGGUGGCGAAGGCGGCAUCCUGGACCAACACUGACGCUGAGGAGCGAAAGCCAGGGGAGCAAACGGG